Non-coding RNA from Mus caroli (Ryukyu mouse), 304 nucleotides. NCBI's taxonomy places the organism in Eukaryota, Metazoa, Chordata, Mammalia, Rodentia, Muridae. The record is from RefSeq and is a predicted model, not a curated record.
ACAGUGAUAACAGCACAGCACUAAUUAAGGAUUCACAGUAUGAGCGUGAAGAAUGUAUGGCCAUGUUAUUAGAACACGGUGCUGAUCCAAAUGCUAUGGAUAGUAGUGGGAACACAGCACUGCACUAUGUUGUUUGGCAUAACAACAUGUCAAUGGCAGCNAAACUGCUGGCCCAUCAUGCUGACAUCACUAUAAGGAAUGAGGAUAGCUUCACACCACUUAAACUGGCUCAAUUAAAAAACCAUGACAACCUGGCAAAACUUUUAGAAAACAAGGAAGAAAAGAUAGAGGAAGUUGAUGAAUU